CUGGAUUUCCAGUCAGGCUGUGGGUGUGCAGGCAGUAGGAGGAAGAAGCAGGAGCCCAAUCCUCGGGACUGGAGAGAACCUGGUGACCACCAACAUGAAGGAGAGCCAUCAAGGAGCAUCUUGGAGAGUACCAGCAACUGGUGAAUUUGCAGGGAUUCCACGGGAGACACAGCCCCCUCCUCCCACCCUCAUUCCCACGAAAAAGGACUUCAAAAGGACACUUGUUCCUCUCCAGCCUAAGCCAUCUGCAAUCACCGGGAGCCAGCUGACCGCGCGCAGCCCGCCCGGAGGCUGAGAGAUGGGUGGUCAGGGAAAGGUUCCGGGAGAAGGAGCGGGUGUCCCAGGCCGGGUGAGAAAGAGAAGGGCGGGGAGAAG
Long non-coding RNA from Mustela lutreola (European mink), 375 nucleotides. RefSeq lists it as uncharacterized. The transcript has 3 exons. The record is from RefSeq and is a predicted model, not a curated record. Lineage: Eukaryota; Metazoa; Chordata; Mammalia; Carnivora; Mustelidae.